CAUGGCAAACGGGAGAGUAACACAUUGAUAACCUACCCUGAAGACGAGGAUAACCUUGCGAAAGCGAGAAUAAUACUCGAUGGUAUUAAAAAACUUAUGUUUUUUAAUUAAAGCUCCGGUGCUUCGGGAGGGGUCUAUGUCCUAUCAGCUUGUUGGUGAGGUAAUGGCUCACCAAGGCGACGACGGGUACCGGGUGUGAGAGCAUGACCCGGCUCACUGGGACUGAGACACUGCCCAGACUCCUACGGGAGGCUGCAGUCAAGAAUAUUCCUCAAUGGGCGAAAGCCUGAAGGAGCGACGCCGCGUGUACGAAGAAGCCUUUCGGGGUGUAAAGUACUUUUAUUAGGGAUGAAACAAUGACAGUACCUAAUGAAUAAGGGGCUGCUAACCUCGUGCCAGCAGCAGCGGUAAUACGAGGGCCCCAAGCAUUAUCCGGAUUUAUUGGGCGUAAAGCGUCCGUAGACGGUUUUUCGCAUCUCCUGUUAAAUCCUCUGGCUCAACCAGGGGGCUGCGGGAGAGAUGGAUAAACUAGAGACUGGAAGAGGCAAGCGGAAUUGCUGGUGUAGGGGUUAAAUCCGUUAAUAUCAGCAGGAACACUCAAUGCGAAGGCAACUUGCUGGGACAGUUCUGACGUUCAGGGACGAAAGCGUGGG
This 653-nucleotide ribosomal RNA is filed under the name uncultured bacterium. RNAcentral's name for it is "bacterial SSU rRNA". It matches the Rfam family "Bacterial small subunit ribosomal RNA", at positions 94 to 765 of the family's 1533-position model. The record is from RNAcentral.